RNAcentral lists this ribosomal RNA (433 nucleotides) under uncultured bacterium. RNAcentral describes it as "partial 16S ribosomal RNA". It matches the Rfam family "Bacterial small subunit ribosomal RNA", at positions 29 to 507 of the family's 1533-position model. The record is from RNAcentral.
AACGAACGCUGGCGGCAUGCCUAACACAUGCAAGUCGAACGAGACCUUCGGGUCUAGUGGCGCACGGGUGCGUAACGCGUGGUAACCUGCCCUUAGCUUCGGAAUAACUCCCCGAAAGGGGUGCUAAUACCGGAUAAUGUCUUCGGACCAAAGAUUUAUCGCCUUUGGAUGGGCCCGCGUUGGAUUAGCUAGUUGGUAGGGUAAAUGCCUUCCAAGGCGACUAUCCAUAGCUGGUCUGAGAGGAUGAUCAGCCACACUGGGACCGAGACACGGCCCAGACUCCUACGGGAGGCAGCAGUAGGGAAUAUUGGACAAUGGGCGAAAGCAUGAUCCAGCAAUGCCGCGUGAGUGAUGAAGGCCUUAGGGUUGUAAAGCUCUGUUACCAGGGAUGAUAAUGACGGUACCGGGAGAAUAAGCUCCGGCUAACUCCGUG